Molecule: non-coding RNA, 230 nt
Filed under: Catonella morbi
Lineage: Bacteria; Bacillati; Bacillota; Clostridia; Lachnospirales; Lachnospiraceae
Description: T-box sequence
Rfam family: T-box leader
About the family: Uncharged tRNA acts as the effector for transcription antitermination of genes in the T-box leader family. T-boxes are found upstream of many aminoacyl-tRNA synthetase genes and some amino acid biosynthetic genes usually in Gram-positive bacteria. The anticodon of a specific tRNA base pairs to a specifier sequence within the T-box motif, and the NCCA acceptor tail of the tRNA base pairs to a conserved bulge in the T-box antiterminator hairpin.
Source: RNAcentral
AUCAAACCUGUGAGGGAGAGUAGUAGUUAAGCGGUACUCAUACCAGAGAGCUGUGAUGGUGGAAAUCAGCAUGAGAAAACUUAGUGAAUGGACUCCUGAGGGCCUGCCUGAAUAAAGUAGGGUAAGACGGAGUGAUGACCGUUAUUCUCAUUACCUGUGUGAUGGCAUAGGGUUAAGAUGGUGCAUUAGCAUCAAAUUGGGUGGCAACGCGGAUAAUAUUCGCCCCAAGC